CCGUCUAUAUACGUAUAGCAUAUCAAUAAGCGGAGGAAAAGAAACUAACUAGGAUUCCCUUAGUAACGGCGAGUGAAGCGGGAAGAGCUCAAAUUUGAAAUCUUCAAGGUUUUACCUUGACGAAUUGUAGUUUAAAGGAGUGUUUUCUGUUGGUGUUUUGGUAAAAGUUCUUUGGAAUAGGACAUCAUAGAGGGUGAGAAUCCCGUAUUUGACCAUUACUUUCCAGCGUUGUGAUACACUUUCAAAGAGUCGGAUUGUUUGGGAAUGCAGUCCAAAAUGGGUGGUAAAUUUCAUCUAAAGCUAAAUAUUGGCGAGAGACCGAUAGCGAACAAGUACCGUGAGGGAAAGAUGAAAAGAACUUUGAAAAGAGAGUUAAACAGUACGUGAAAUUGUCAAAAGGGAAGCGUUUGACACCAGUGUUGUUUUUCUCGAAAAUCAAUUAAGAAAUGACUGAUUUUGUGUUGUAUUGACCUUUAUCAGCUUUCUUCACUCUUUUCUGAGUCUUUUUUAAUGCACUUUUCGGUUAACAAAGUCAACAUCAAUUUCUUUUGUUGUAAAAGGGUCAUUGGAAGGUGGCUUUCUUUUCGGAGAAAGUGUUUAUAGCCCUUAUGCCUCUACAAUCGGAGAGAUUGAGGUCUGCAGCGUAGGAUCCUUCGGGGUUAGAUACAUUUGUGCUAAGUUAUAGCCUUUCAUAGACAACUUGUUGACUAUGAUCAGUCAUGUAGCUUACUCGCUUAUGCUAUUUUACCUACGCUUAGGAUGUUGACUGAUAUGUAGUCGUA
Molecule: ribosomal RNA, 782 nt
Filed under: uncultured Neocallimastigales
Lineage: Eukaryota; Fungi; Neocallimastigomycota; Neocallimastigomycetes; Neocallimastigales
Description: partial large subunit ribosomal RNA
Rfam family: Eukaryotic large subunit ribosomal RNA
Source: RNAcentral